This 492-nucleotide ribosomal RNA is filed under the name uncultured bacterium. Its description in RNAcentral is "partial 16S ribosomal RNA". It matches the Rfam family "Bacterial small subunit ribosomal RNA", at positions 29 to 507 of the family's 1533-position model. The record is from RNAcentral.
AGUGAACGCUGGCGGUAGGCCUAACACAUGCAAGUCGAACGGCAGCACAGUAAGAGCUUGCUCUUACGGGUGGCGAGUGGCGGACGGGUGAGGAAUACAUCGGAAUCUACUUUUUCGUGGGGGAUAACGUAGGGAAACUUACGCUAAUACCGCAUACGACCUACGGGUGAAAGCAGGGGAUCUUCGGACCUUGCGCGAUUGAAUGAGCCGAUGUCGGGUUAGCUAGUUGGCGGGGUAAAGGCCCACCAAGGCGACGAUCCGUAGCUGGUCUGAGAGGAUGAUCAGCCACACUGGAACUGAGACACGGUCCAGACUCCUACGGGAGGCAGCAGUGGGGAAUAUUGGACAAUGGGCGCAAGCCUGAUCCAGCCAUACCGCGUGGGUGAAGAAGGCCUUCGGGUUGUAAAGCCCUUUUGUUGGGAAAGAAAGGCAGCAGGUUAAUACCCCGCUGUUCUGACGGUACCCAAAGAAUAAGCACCGGCUAACUUCGUG